UACGAAGGGGGCUAGCGUUGUUCGGAAUUACUGGGCGUAAAGCGCGCGCAGGCGGCUUGUCAAGCCAGGGGUGAAAUCCCAGAGCUCAACUCUGGAACUGCCUUUGGAACUGUCAAGCUAGAGUAUCGGAGGGGACAGUGGAAUUCCUAGUGUAGAGGUGAAAUUCGUAGAUAUUAGGAGGAACACCAGUGGCGAAGGCGACUGUCUGGACGAUAACUGACGCUGAGGCGCGAAAGCGUGGGGAGCAAACAGG
RNAcentral lists this ribosomal RNA (253 nucleotides) under uncultured bacterium. RNAcentral describes it as "partial 16S ribosomal RNA". It matches the Rfam family "Bacterial small subunit ribosomal RNA", at positions 524 to 776 of the family's 1533-position model. The record is from RNAcentral.